Molecule: ribosomal RNA, 442 nt
Filed under: uncultured bacterium
Lineage: Bacteria
Description: bacterial SSU rRNA
Rfam family: Bacterial small subunit ribosomal RNA
Source: RNAcentral
GUGAGGAAUAUUGCUCAAUGGGCGAAAGCCUGAAGCAGCGACGCCGCGUGAGGGAUGAAAUCCGUUAGGAUGUAAACCUCUUUUGCAGGGAAAGAAUGUCUCGAUUUAUCGGGAUUGACGGUACCCUGCGAAUAAGCACCGGCCAACUACGUGCCAGCAGCCGCGGUAAUACGUAGGGUGCAAGCGUUGUCCGGAAUUACUGGGUGUAAAGGGUCCGUAGGCGGGUAAACAAGUCGGUGGUGAAAUCCUGUGGCUCAACCACAGAACUGCCCUCGAUACUGUUUAUCUUGAGUGCGAGAGAGGAUGAUGGAAUUCAUGGUGUAGCGGUGAAAUGCGUAGAGAUCAUGAAGAACACCGGUUGCGAAGGCGAUCAUCUGGCUCGUUACUGACGCUCAGGGACGAAAGCGUGGGGAGCAAACAGGAUUAGAAACCCUGGUAGUCC